Molecule: small nuclear RNA, 161 nt
Organism: Andrographis paniculata
Lineage: Eukaryota; Viridiplantae; Streptophyta; Magnoliopsida; Lamiales; Acanthaceae
Product: U1 spliceosomal RNA
Exons: 1
Source: RefSeq, a predicted model, not a curated record
AUUCUUACCUGGACGGGGUUUAUGGUGAUCAAUAAUGUCCGUGGCCUAGGUUGGUGACCUUCAUUGCACUUUGAAGGGGUGUCUGCCUAAGGUUGGCCCAAAGUGGUCGAGCCUACGUCGUAAUUUGUGACGGCGGGGGCCUGCGUUCACGUUGCCCCCUA